Molecule: transfer RNA, 82 nt
Filed under: Natrarchaeobius halalkaliphilus
Lineage: Archaea; Methanobacteriati; Methanobacteriota; Halobacteria; Halobacteriales; Natrialbaceae
Description: tRNA-Gly
Source: RNAcentral
GGAAGGGUCGCUCAGCGGAAGAGCACCGCGGUGCCCCCGUGGCGGCACUUUGCCUCGUGGCGUUCGAAUCCCACCCCUUCCG